Molecule: microRNA precursor, 67 nt
Filed under: Bombyx mori (domestic silkworm)
Lineage: Eukaryota; Metazoa; Arthropoda; Insecta; Lepidoptera; Bombycidae
Description: mir-2774 microRNA precursor family
Rfam family: mir-2774 microRNA precursor family
Source: Rfam by way of RNAcentral
ACAACAUCUGGACCGUCAGUCUACUGAGCAAUUACACCCGCUCUAUGGAGGAUCUCCCCUCCGUCGU